RNAcentral lists this ribosomal RNA (463 nucleotides) under uncultured Spirosoma sp. Its description in RNAcentral is "bacterial SSU rRNA". It matches the Rfam family "Bacterial small subunit ribosomal RNA", at positions 379 to 841 of the family's 1533-position model. Lineage: Bacteria; Pseudomonadati; Bacteroidota; Cytophagia; Cytophagales; Cytophagaceae. The record is from RNAcentral.
AACUCUGACCCAGCCAUGCCGCGUGCAGGAUGAAGGCGCUCAGCGUUGUAAACUGCUUUUAUCUGGGAAGAACGGUAGUCCUGCGGGAUUAUGUGACGGUACCAGAGGAAUAAGCACCGGCUAACUCCGUGCCAGCAGCCGCGGUAAUACGGAGGGUGCGAGCGUUGUCCGGAUUUAUUGGGUUUAAAGGGUGCGUAGGUGGUUUAGUAAGUCUGGUUUGAAAGCUGGUCGCUUAACGAUCAGAUGUGGCUGGAAACUUGCUGGACUUGAAUGCGGUGGCGGUAGCUGGAACGGGUCAUGUAGCGGUGAAAUGCAUAGAUAUGACCCAGAACCCCGAUUGCGAAGGCAGGCUACUACGCCGUGAUUGAAACUGAGGCACGAGAGCAUGGGUAGCGAACAGGAUUAGAUACCCUGGUAGUCCAUGCCGUAAACGAUGAUUACUGGCUGUUGGGUCUUUGGAUUC